This 591-nucleotide ribosomal RNA is filed under the name Platerodrilus sp. UPOL A00575. RNAcentral describes it as "partial 16S ribosomal RNA". It matches the Rfam family "Bacterial large subunit ribosomal RNA", at positions 1816 to 2716 of the family's 2925-position model. The record is from RNAcentral. Lineage: Eukaryota; Metazoa; Arthropoda; Insecta; Coleoptera; Lycidae.
CAUGUCCUUUUGACUAUAAUUUAAGGUCUGAUCUGCUCGAUGAUUGAUUAAAUUGCCGCAGUAUUAUAACUGUGCUAAGGUAGCAUAAUCAUUAGUUUUUUAAUUGAAAACUGGAAUGAAUGGUAGGACGAAAUGAUUUUUGUCUCAUUUAAAAGUUAUUUUUAAUUUUAUUUUUAAGUGAAAAAGCUUAAAUAUUUUUAAAAGACGAGAAGACCCUAUAGAGUUUUACAUUAUUUAGUUUUUAGAAAUUUUAUUUAAUGUUUAUUUGGGGUGACUUAAAGAUUAGAAAAAUUCUUUAAAUUUUAUAUUGAUGAUUAUUAAUUUCAAAUUUUAGUAUUUUUAAAAAUAAAAAAAUUACCUUAGGGAUAACAGCGUAAUUUUUCUUUAAAGUUCGUAUUGUAAGAGAAGUUUGCGACCUCGAUGUUGGAUUAAAAUUAAUUGUUGGCGCAAUAGCUGAUAAAUUAGGUCUGUUCGACCUUUAAAAUUUUACAUGAUCUGAGUUUAGACCGGCGUGAGCCAGGUCGGAUUCUAUCUUUAAUAGGUUAGUUUAUUUUAGUACGAAAGGACCAAAUAAAUGUUAUAUGUUAACUA